RNAcentral lists this long non-coding RNA (216 nucleotides) under Nicotiana benthamiana. Its description in RNAcentral is "long non-coding RNA (NBEN_LNC024548)". Lineage: Eukaryota; Viridiplantae; Streptophyta; Magnoliopsida; Solanales; Solanaceae. The record is from RNAcentral.
CUAGCUCAAAAAUCCUAAGCUACAAAGAAAAUCAAAGAUAAAGAAAAAGACAUGGGUUACCUCCCAAGAAGCGCAUGAUUUAACAUUGUGGCACAAUGCAUAUUACCACCACAUCACUUCAAAUCAAGAAGCGCCACCACGUGUCUCUCAUCAAACUCUCCAAGAAGCAAUAAAUAGCACGCCCAACAAGUUGGUUGAGCAUCCGAUCAAUGAAUG